Molecule: ribosomal RNA, 478 nt
Filed under: uncultured bacterium
Lineage: Bacteria
Description: bacterial SSU rRNA
Rfam family: Bacterial small subunit ribosomal RNA
Source: RNAcentral
AUUGAACGCUGGCGGCAUGCCUUACACAUGCAAGUCGAACGGUAACAGGUUAAGCUGACGAGUGGCGAACGGGUGAGUAAUGUAUCGGAACGUGCCCAGUCGUGGGGGAUAACUGCUCGAAAGAGCAGCUAAUACCGCAUACGACCUGAGGGGGAAAGCGGGGGAUCGCAAGACCUCGCGCGAUUGGAGCGGCCGAUAUCAGAUUAGGUAGUUGGUGGGGUAAAGGCCUACCAAGCCUACGAUCUGUAGCUGGUCUGAGAGGACGACCAGCCACACUGGGACUGAGACACGGCCCAGACUCCUACGGGAGGCAGCAGUGGGGAAUUUUGGACAAUGGACGCAAGUCUGAUCCAGCCAUGCCGCGUGCGGGAAGAAGGCCUUCGGGUUGUAAACCGCUUUUGUCAGGGAAGAAAAGGUUCUGGCUAAUACCUGGGACUCAUGACGGUACCUGAAGAAUAAGCACCGGCUAACUACGUGC